CCAGCAGCCGCGGUAAUACGUAGGGGGCUAGCGUUAUCCGGAAUUACUGGGCGUAAGGGUGCGUAGGUGGUUUCUUAAGUCAGAGGUGAAAGGCUACGGCUCAACCGUAGUAAGCCUUUGAAACUGGGAAACUUGAGUGCAGGAGAGGAGAGUGGAAUUCCUAGUGUAGCGGUGAAAUGCGUAGAUAUUAGGAGGAACACCAGUUGCGAAGGCGGCUCUCUGGACUGCAACUGACACUGAGGCACGAAAGCGUGGGGAGCAAACAGGGAUUAGAUACCCUGGUAGUCCACGCCGUAAACGAUGAGUACUAGCUGUCGGAGGUUACCCCCUUCGGUGGCGCACCUAACGCAUUUAAGUACUCCGCCUGGGAAGUACGCUCGCAAGAGUGAAACUCAAAGGGAUUGACGGGAAACCGCACAGGUAGCGGAGCAUGUGGUUUAAUUCGAAGCAACGCGAAGAACCUUAUUAAGCUUGACAUCCUUCUGACCUCUCCCUAAUCGGAGAUUUCCCUUCGGGGACAGAAGUGACAGGUGGUGCAUGGUUGUCGUCAGCUCGUGUCGUGAGAUGUUGGGUUAAGUCCCGCAACGAGCGCAACCCUUGCCUUUAGUUGCCAGCAUUAAGUUGGGCACUCUAGAGGGACUGCCAGGGAUAACCUGGAGGAAGGUGGGGAUGACGUCAAAUCAUCAUGCCCCUUAUGCUUAGGGCUACACACGUGCUACAAUGGGUGGUACAGAGGGCAGCCAAGUCGUGAGGCGGAGCUAAUCCCUUAAAGCCAUUCUCAGUUCGGAUUGUAGGCUGAAACUCGCAUACAUGAAGCUGGAGUUACUAGUAAUCGCAGAUCAGAAUGCUGCGGUGAAUGCGUUCCCGGGUCUUGUACACACCGCCCGUCACACCACGGAAGUUGGGGGCGCCCGAAGCCGGAUUGCUAACCUUUUGGAAGCGUCCGUCGAAGGUGAAAUCAAUAACUGGGGUGAAGUCGUAACAAGGUAGCCGAU
This 995-nucleotide ribosomal RNA is filed under the name uncultured Bacillota bacterium. RNAcentral describes it as "bacterial SSU rRNA". It matches the Rfam family "Bacterial small subunit ribosomal RNA", at positions 508 to 1504 of the family's 1533-position model. Lineage: Bacteria; Bacillati; Bacillota. The record is from RNAcentral.